Molecule: small nuclear RNA, 187 nt
Filed under: Tupaia belangeri (northern tree shrew)
Lineage: Eukaryota; Metazoa; Chordata; Mammalia; Scandentia; Tupaiidae
Description: U4 spliceosomal RNA (ENSTBEG00000020367.1)
Rfam family: U4 spliceosomal RNA (bases 1-121)
About the family: U4 small nuclear RNA (U4 snRNA) is a component of the major U2-dependent spliceosome. The structure of U4 snRNA from yeast and human has been reported. U4 snRNA presents a k-turn RNA motif in the 5p-SL related to recognition of Snu13 protein.
Source: RNAcentral
AGCUUUGCGCAGUGGCAGUAUCAUAGCCAAUGAGGUUUAUCCGAGGCGCGAUUAUUGCUAAUUGAAAAAGAUGUGUCUUUUUUUUUUUCUAUGUUUGAUUUUUUUGGUUUUUGCUAUCAGGUGCAUGUGCUCACCAGAAAGAGAGAGACAGAGAGACAGAAAGCAAGAAAUCACCCCCCUGAGGGGG